This 465-nucleotide ribosomal RNA is filed under the name Vreelandella stevensii. RNAcentral describes it as "partial 16S ribosomal RNA". It matches the Rfam family "Bacterial small subunit ribosomal RNA", at positions 338 to 795 of the family's 1533-position model. The record is from RNAcentral. Lineage: Bacteria; Pseudomonadati; Pseudomonadota; Gammaproteobacteria; Oceanospirillales; Halomonadaceae.
CCUACGGGUGGCAGCAGUGGGGAAUAUUGGACAAUGGGCGAAAGCCUGAUCCAGCCAUGUCGCGUGUGUGAAGAAGGCCUUCGGGUUGUAAAGCACUUUCAGUGGGGAAGAAAGCCUUGGGGCUAAUACCCUCGAGGAAGGACAUCACCCACAGAAGAAGCACCGGCUAACUCCGUGCCAGCAGCCGCGGUAAUACGGAGGGUGCGAGCGUUAAUCGGAAUUACUGGGCGUAAAGCGCGCGUAGGCGGUCUGAUAAGCCGGUUGUGAAAGCCCCGGGCUCAACCUGGGAACGGCAUCCGGAACUGUCAGGAUAGAGUGCAGGAGAGGAAGGUAGAAUUCCCGGUGUAGCGGUGAAAUGCGUAGAGAUCGGGAGGAAUACCAGUGGCGAAGGCGGCCUUCUGGACUGACACUGACGCUGAGGUGCGAAAGCGUGGGUAGCAAACAGGAUUAGAUACCCGUGUAGUC